GGCUCGGUGGCAGAUGGUCCGCAUCUGCAACUUGUGUGUGUCUUGUGAUAGUGUUACGCAGAUGGUUGCUCGUUCAAAUUGAGCCUGAGCCA
Non-coding RNA from Mycena capillaripes, 92 nucleotides. The record is from the annotation of a GenBank genome assembly. Lineage: Eukaryota; Fungi; Basidiomycota; Agaricomycetes; Agaricales; Mycenaceae.